GGCUCGAUGGCGGAUGGUCCGCGUCUGCUUUCGCUGCACACGUUCUCCCGGUCUAUAGCAGCAGGUCUGCCCGGUUCGAUUCUGGGUUGAGUCU
Mycena filopes is the source of this 94-nucleotide non-coding RNA. The record is from the annotation of a GenBank genome assembly. NCBI's taxonomy places the organism in Eukaryota, Fungi, Basidiomycota, Agaricomycetes, Agaricales, Mycenaceae.